GACAUCCAGAGAAUUUAGCAGAGAUGCUUUAGUGCCUUCGGGAACUCUGAGACAGGUGCUGCAUGGCUGUCGUCAGCUCGUGUUGUGAAAUGUUGGGUUAAGUCCGCAACGAGCGCAACCCUUAUCCUUUGUUGCCAGCACGUAAUGGUGGGAACUCAAAGGAGACUGCCGGUGAUAAACCGGAGGAAGGUGGGGAUGACGUCAAGUCAUCAUGGCCCUUACGAGUAGGGCUACACACGUGCUACAAUGGCGCAUACAAAGAGAAGCGACCUCGCGAGAGCAAGCGGACCUCAUAAAGUGCGUCGUAGUCCGGAUUGGAGUCUGCAACUCGACCCCAUGAAGUCGGAAUCGCUAGUAAUCGUAAAUCAGAAUGUUACGGUGAAUACGUUCCCGGGCCUUGUACACACCGCCCGUCACACCAUGGGAGUGGGUUGCAAAAGAAGUAGAUAGCUUAACCUUCGGGAGGGCGUUUACCACUUUGUGAUUCAUGACUGGGGUGAAGUCGUAACAAGGUAAGCGUAGUGCU
Molecule: ribosomal RNA, 526 nt
Filed under: uncultured bacterium
Lineage: Bacteria
Description: bacterial SSU rRNA
Rfam family: Bacterial small subunit ribosomal RNA
Source: RNAcentral